Molecule: long non-coding RNA, 1114 nt
Filed under: Solanum tuberosum (potato)
Lineage: Eukaryota; Viridiplantae; Streptophyta; Magnoliopsida; Solanales; Solanaceae
Description: long non-coding RNA (STUB_LNC004307)
Source: RNAcentral
UUAUCACAAAUAAUAAUUCAGAAAUACCACCAAGUCUAUCACUAUUCAGCAUGUGUCACAUAAUGCGUAUUCUAACUGAAACAGUGAAUAAAUGAAGUUCACUUAGCACCAUUGCAGUAACCGUAGAGCUAAAUGUUAACACCAAAGUAAGGUUGUGGAAUAUGCAUACGAUGAAACAGCUCUAUUCCAAUAUAGAUAGACUAGUGGGAUCAAAAUAAAGGAGAAAGAAAAUGAUAAUUGGCUUUAAGCAUUUUCUAGACACACAAAGAUUAACUUACUGCAUCUUCAGGUAAAAGAAUACGCGUCAGUGGCCAGGUAUCCGCUGCUUGUCUCAAGAAAAUGAUAAUUGGCUUUAAGCAUUUUUUAGACACGCAAAGAUUAACUUACUGCAUCUUCAGGUAAAAGAAUACGCGUCAGUGGCCAGGUAUCCGCUGCUUGUCUCAAGAAAAUGAUAAUUGGCUUUAAGCAUUUUUUAGACACGCAAAGAUUAACUUACUGCAUCUUCAGGUAAAAGAAUACGCUCAGUGGCCAGGUAUCCGCUGCUUGUCUCAAAGAAAAUGAUAAUUGGCUUUAAGCAUUUUUUAGACACGCAAAGAUUAACUUACUGCAUCUUCAGGUAAAAGAAUACGCUCAGUGGCCAGGUAUCCGCUGCUUGUCUCAAAGAAAAUGAUAAUUGGCUUUAAGCAUUUUUUAGACACGCAAAGAUUAACUUACUGCAUCUUCAGGUAAAAGAAUACGCUCAGUGGCCAGGUAUCCGCUGCUUGUCUCAAAGAAAAUGAUAAUUGGCUUUAAGCAUUUUUUAGACACGCAAAGAUUAACUUACUGCAUCUUCAGGUAAAAGAAUACGCUCAGUGGCCAGGUAUCCGCUGCUUGUCUCAAAGAAAAUGAUAAUUGGCUUUAAGCAUUUUUUAGACACGCAAAGAUUAACUUACUGCAUCUUCAGGUAAAAGAAUACGCUCAGUGGCCAGGUAUCCGCUGCUUGUCUCAAUUGGUACCAUCCUACCAGCUCCUACCCUUGGUUUCUCCUCAUUCUUGCAAAUAUGGAAUCUAUACUUGGGGAGAACUCUGAGAUCUUCCUCGGAUGCACCUUCCUAUAUAUUACAGGUAAAAGAUC